CGAUGCAACGCGAAGAACCUUACUACCCUUGACAUGUCCGGAACUUGCCAGAGAUGGCUUGGUGCCGAAAGGGAAUCGGAACACAGGUGCUGCAUGGCUGUCGUCAGCUCGUGUCGUGAGAGUGUUGGGUUAAGUCCCGCAACGGGCGCAACCCUUAUCAUUAGUUGCUACGCAAGGGCACUCUAAUGAGACUGCCGGUGACAAACCGGAGAAGUGGGGAUGACGUCAAGUCCUCAUGGCCCUUAUGGGUAGGGCUUCACACGUCAUACAAUGGUCGGUACAGAGGGUUGCCAAGCCGCGAGGCGGAGCCAAUCCCACAAAGCCGAUCGUAGUCCGGAUUGUUCUCUGCAACUCGAGAGCAUGAAGUCGGAAUCGCUAGUAAUCGCAGGUCAGCAUACUGCGGUGAAUACGUUCCCGGGUCUU
RNAcentral lists this ribosomal RNA (423 nucleotides) under uncultured Thiobacillus sp. RNAcentral describes it as "bacterial SSU rRNA". It matches the Rfam family "Bacterial small subunit ribosomal RNA", at positions 952 to 1382 of the family's 1533-position model. The record is from RNAcentral. Lineage: Bacteria; Pseudomonadati; Pseudomonadota; Betaproteobacteria; Nitrosomonadales; Thiobacillaceae.